This 497-nucleotide ribosomal RNA is filed under the name uncultured bacterium. RNAcentral describes it as "partial 16S ribosomal RNA". It matches the Rfam family "Bacterial small subunit ribosomal RNA", at positions 28 to 507 of the family's 1533-position model. The record is from RNAcentral.
GAUGAACGCUGGCGGCGUGCCUAAUACAUGCAAGUCGAGCGAACAGAUGAUGAGCUUGCUCCUCUGACGUUAGCGGCUGACGGGUGAGUAACACGUGGAUAACCUACCUAUAAGACUGGGAUAACUUCGGGAAACCGGAGCUAAUACCGGAUAAUAUAUUGAACCGCAUGGUUCAAUAGUGAAAGACGGUUUUGCUGUCACUUAUAGAUGGAUCCGCGCCGCAUUAGCUAGUUGGUAAGGUAACGGCUUACCAAGGCAACGAUGCGUAGCCGACCUGAGAGGGUGAUCGGCCACACUGGAACUGAGACACGGUCCAGACUCCUACGGGAGGCAGCAGUAGGGAAUCUUCCGCAAUGGGCGAAAGCCUGACGGAGCAACGCCGCGUGAGUGAUGAAGGUCUUCGGAUCGUAAAACUCUGUUAUUAGGGAAGAACAAAUGUGUAAGUAACUAUGCACGUCUUGACGGUACCUAAUCAGAAAGCCACGGCUAACUACGUG